Molecule: small nuclear RNA, 103 nt
Organism: Macaca fascicularis (crab-eating macaque)
Lineage: Eukaryota; Metazoa; Chordata; Mammalia; Primates; Cercopithecidae
Source: Ensembl
UUGCUUCAGCAGCACAUAUACUAAAAUUGGAAUCAUACAGAGAAGAUUAACAUGGCCCCUGCAUAAGCAUGACAAACAAAUUCAUGAAGUGUUCCAUAUUUUU